This 1440-nucleotide ribosomal RNA is filed under the name Luteimonas marina. RNAcentral's name for it is "bacterial SSU rRNA". It matches the Rfam family "Bacterial small subunit ribosomal RNA". Lineage: Bacteria; Pseudomonadati; Pseudomonadota; Gammaproteobacteria; Lysobacterales; Lysobacteraceae. The record is from RNAcentral.
AUGCAAGUCGAACGGCAGCACAGGGGAGCUUGCUCCCUGGGUGGCGAGUGGCGGACGGGUGAGGAAUACAUCGGAAUCUGCCUAUACGUGGGGGAUAACGUAGGGAAACUUACGCUAAUACCGCAUACGACCUACGGGUGAAAGCGGGGGAUCGCAAGACCUCGCGCGGAUAGAUGAGCCGAUGUCCGAUUAGCUAGUUGGAUGUGACAACCCUCACGAUUGCAAUGGUCGGUAGCUGGUCUCAUCGGAGAGAUAGGCACAACCCCACUAAUCGACCCAUCCCAGUCCUAUCGACGCACGCAGCAUAGAAUAUUCUAGACUGCAACCGAGUCCAGUCUGAUCAGCAGCAGUGAGCGACGCUGCGGUACGGGUUAAACCUCACUUCCUUAGGAAAGGAAAGAACAUCAGUCACUCACUGCCUUGAUUGUCUGUACCGCACACAUACCUAUAGAAUACGUCGCUGCCAGCAGCAGUAGUAAUAGGGUGCCAGCGAGUCGCUAGUAAUAACUACUCGUCAUCCCGCCGUGCGUAGGGGGCCUCGUAUAAUCUCAAGAGACCCCGUGUGCUCCACCGUAAUUCCCCGCAGUGGAUACCAGCAGGGAGAGUGUAGAAGAGUAUUGUAUAACUCCACGGAGCCGCAGAGUUCCGCGUAGAGAGGGGGAGGAACAUCCGGGGAAAAGGCGAUUUUGUUCCCCCCACAUUCACAUAGAUACAUGAAAGUGUGGGGCCAACACGUUCCCAUAUCCCGGGAUAGUCCUCCCCAUCAUCGACGAAAUCAAUAUUUCGCCUUCAAUUCCAAUCACAUUAUCGAAGCUAACGCGUUAAGUUCGCCGCAUGGGGUGCCCGGUCGCAAGACUGAAACUCAAAGGAAUAGACGGGGGCCCGCCCAAGCGGUGGAGUAUGUGGUUUAAUUCGAUGCAACGCGAAGACCCUUACUUGGCCUUGACAUGCAGGGAACUUUCCAGAGAUGGAUUGGUGCCUUCGGGAACCGUGACACAGGUGUUGCAUGGCUGUCGUCAGCUCGUGUCGUGAGAUGUUGGGUUAAGUCCCGCAACGAGCGCAACCCUUGUCCUUAGUUGCCAGCACGUAAUGGUGGGAACUCUAAGGAGACCGCCGGUGACAAACCGGAGGAAGGUGGGGAUGACGUCAAGUCAUCAUGGCCCUUACGGCCAGGGCUACACACGUACUACAAUGGGAAGGACAGAGGGCUGCGAACCCGCGAGGGCAAGCCAAUCCCAGAAACCUUCUCUCAGUCCGGAUCGGAGUCUGCAACUCGACUCCGUGAAGUCGGAAUCGCUAGUAAUCGCAGAUCAGCAUUGCUGCGGUGAAUACGUUCCCGGGCCUUGUACACACCGCCCGUCACACCAUGGGAGUUUGUUGCACCAGAAGCAGGUAGCCUAACCGCAAGGAGGGCGCUGUUCGACGGAGACCCAGAUGCCC